GCCGCCAACGGCUGCCGUCGGGAUUGCGCGGGGGGGGGUCUGCUGCCCCUGCUCUCGUCGAGGGCCAGUGCUCUCGUUCCCGUCUUCCCACAUUCAUACCCCAUCGUUCUGCCAUAGCUCCCUCUCUUGCCCCAGUCAGAGACCUCUGUGGGAGCUCUGUGGGCCCUGAUCGGAACCGGCUUGUCUGCCGGCUCGUGCCCAGGCACCCCGUGGGCCUUUUCACUGCCACUCUCCUCCUCAUCCCCCCUGUUCUCCCUACACUGCUGCUGAUAGACAAACUGGACUGGCCCCAGCUAGAGGUGGAAAAAACACGUUUGCUCACAUCUGAGAGCCCGCCUGUGGGUGGGUGAGCGGGGGCUGAGGCACAGUGGAGGCCUGGAACGCAGUGUCUGGAACAGCAGAGGAUACAGUCAAUGAUAUGUGGACAUGCAUCAAAGCUUCGCUCUUGCUGGUGACAUCAUAGCCUUCCAAUGACCAUGACAUCCACCACCUCCCCCUUGUGAAGCUCCACAUACUGCUCUGUCUUUGGAGGUAGCAUCAACAGUCCAUUGGCACUGCGCAUACUCAUCAGACGACUGCUCAUCUGAUUCCCUGCAGAAGGAUGCAGAGAACCUAGAGAUUUCUGCACACAGAAUGAAAGCAGAAGUGCUAGCAGUGGCUCUACACCAAUCAUGCUGAAGACGAUUGCACCAUGAGCAACAUGCUGCUGCAACCAAAAGCAAAAUGAGUUUUAACUUGUGACUCACAUCAUCUGAUUCCCUGAUGAGUUCUGUAUCUUCCACUUGCACCACUGCAUCAGCACCACAAGGGAUUGGAGCACCGGUUGUAACUCGCAUUACCUGACCUGGCAUCACAGUUUGAGUUGGCUGAAAAACAAAAUAAAACAAUUUAGUUUUGAAUAGAAAAAUCUUAAAUGAUAUGAACAUUAUGAAGGUAAUCUGAAAGAAUAAAAUUCUUCCAUAUGGCAUGCAUCUUGUUAUACUGCUAGUGAUAUUGACAGGAACAAACUCCAACAUCUUUGAAAACCAUUAGGAACCUGGCUUUUAGGUCGCAUAUCAGGUAGGUUCAUUUUUCCCAACAGAUAGAUUCCUAUCAUAAGCAUAACUUUCAGAUGGAGCAAUAUGGUGGUAUUUUGAUUGGCUCAGAAAUGUCACAUUUAAAUGGAGACCUUCAGAAACUUACAUGAGCAAAAAUCUAGUAUGUGUCCAUAGAUAAAUAAUUCUGCAGAAUAUUCUGUUCCUUAGGUUGAAUUUCUUUUUUACACUUUUUAUGCGCUGUGUGACUGGAAGUUAUUGCUAUACUGACCUACAAGAAGGGCAUAAGAAGAUCCAGGAAACUACAGACCUGUUAGUCUAACCUCAGUCCCCAUAAAAACUAUGGAGAUUGUCCUGGAUGAGAGGAAAUGGAGAGGGAGGCAACAUUUUUUUCUCCUCAGUGAUAGGACAUGAAUGAAGAGCACACAGAUGCACCAGGGGAUGUUCAGGCUAGAUAACAGGAAAAACUUUACUGUAAGAGUGAUCAGACACUGGAACAGACUUCCUAGAGAGGUGGUUGAUGCCCCAAACCUGUCAGUAUUCAAGAGGCAUUUGGAUGAUGCAUGAUAACAUGCUGUAGCUUUUGGUUAGACCUGAAGAGAUCAAGCAGCAAAACUAGAUAGUUACUGUAGGUCCCUUCCUAAAUCUCUAAGUUUCUGGUAUAACCUGCUGCUUGAUUUUUAAGCAAAUUUCCUCAUAAUGAGAGACAGUUCAAUGUCACUUCACAUAGAAUAUCUAUUUUUGCAAAGGUCACUUUAGCAAAGACUAAAAUAUAUAAUGCUCUACAAUUAUGUAAGUCACAGUACAUCAGAAAGUUUCACUAGAAGAAGACAAAGAAUAGAAAAAUACCAGAAUAAAACAAGUGAUGUGGUUUUAAUAACAUUUCACACCAGGAAGCCUAUUUUAAUAAAAUUGUACAAAAUCCAGAGUAAAACUGUAAUUUGACCACAACCAUAUGAGAAAUAAAUAACGAAAAUAAAAAUCUUUGUGAUAAAAUGCAGCUAAAGGAAGCUGUAUGAAAAUUGAGGUUUUAUUGCUGGAAUGUGUUUGCUCCACACAAUGCCCUAGUAAGGCCAACUUAUUUGGGUUUUACUGUGAUUAGUGUACAUGAUACAGCUGUGAUCAAUCCAACAUAUUCUGUGCACGUUACAUUUAUAAUUCCGGUACAGAUGGACUCUAUAUUUCAUAUGCAAUCCUGGAGCGUGUCCAGGACUUCUCAGACUGAGUGUGAUUAGCACAUAUUUGAUAGCUACCCAUAGACUUCAAAGUAGUAAUGCCCAAGCACUCUUAUUUGCUCAUGCACAGCAGUGAUAUGCUCUAUGACUUUUGACAAGAAGCUGUUAGACAUCUGUAUGUUCUAGACAGGUGGCCAACGUUUCAAAUGUACAUAGCUGUGUUUGCCUUGUCCAUUAUUCUACUCCAUUUCAGCACAGCUGUAAUGUCUGAAAUGUGAAUAUUCCUUUGGAACGUGUGUAUUUCAAAGGCUGCUGUAUUUUGUUCUUUGGCACAAAGACAUUAGGAAAAAGUUGUAAAUGGGUUGUCCCUAAUUUCCUACAGUAAUGCUCUAUGUAUCCCAAGAAAUUACUGAGUUUGGAUUUGAUUGAAUACUGGCGCUUUUCUAAGCGUAAAGGAAAUAUAACAUCCUUUGAGAAGAACAUAAAGUGCUAAGAUAAACUGGAAAAAGAGUUCGCAGUUGCAACAUGUCAUGGUUUAUGUGCUUUCCGAGCAAGACUGAUGUUAUCUUAAAGUAGGCAUCUAACAUAAAUAAGAUGAAAGAAAUACGUUUUCAUUUUAUUUUUCUCAAACAGAAUUCUCACCACAGAUUAUUCAAGGAGCUGUUGAUGAACAGCUGAGAUGCAGCCAUUUACACUGAAUAUGAUUAAAACUAAGUGAAAAUAACCUGUCCAGUGUGGUGGUUUGAUUUUUAUGAAAACAAAUGUUGCAAAAAGCAGAGUUUAUGCCUUGGGAGUGUGGGAGCUCUUUUGCAUAUUCUUGUAGGUACAUUACAAAUAAGUAAUAUUGUUUUGAACUUACUAAAUAAUUAGUCUUUUAGCAGCAAGUUUUAAAGGAGAAAUGUUUUGCAUAAAAAAUUCGCCCAUUUAAAAUACAGUUUUUCAGCCUCAAGAACGACAAAAAAUGCAUGCAUAGGACUCUGCCAGAAAAUAGUGCUUAUGGUGAUAAAAUGCACAGUAAAUAUCCAUGUUUUUGGAGUUUAUUAUCAUAUGAAGCAGUUAAUUUUUUUGAGGUGUAGUGAUGUAAAGUGUUUAAACAAAUUUAUGAUGCAGUAACAUUUGUUUUUAUAAUCAGUUAUGUUGCUCUUAUAUUUCAUUUCCUUUUUGUCCUUUGGGAAUUUGGCCAGAUGAACUUUAUAAAGAAGACAGAGCUGUUUUCUCCUGUUCUUCACAGACACUGUGAAGAAAUUAUUUCUCAGAAAGCAUAUUAAUACAUCAAUUUCACAGAAGCUCUUUUAAAGGUCACUGAGAUCUCACACUUACCUGCAAUAGGGCACUACAGGAUUCUACCUUUCACCUUCAUCACUGAUAAUGCAUUUUAUGUUAAUCACUGACUAAAACCAGAAGUAAUCUGUCAAGCAUAGCCUCAUCUCAAGCAUUUUCUCUUGCACAAUAUUACACCUCUCCUGCAAGAUUUACAAUGACCCAUGCUCCCUUCUGUAAAAAGGGUCAAGUUAAUGGAAAGGUGAAAAAUGUCUGUUUCCAUCCAUCCAUUAUGGUUAGUCACAGCUCCUCUUAAAAACAUCUUUGGUCUUCCAGGAAAUUCUAAUCCUCAGCUAUUCAACUCUAAGGGAAGAAAAUCAUUGCUCCCUGUGGUCUAGUUUUUCACAGAGUCUGUGCUGAUGGCUCUUGACUAGUGCUCUCAAAUGUGCCCUAACCUCUCCAGAGCAGGGUUGUGUCUGAAAGUUUUCUUCAAUACUAAAUAAAAAAAAUGUCUGUUAAUAUAAGCACAACUGUCUGGAAAUGGAAUUGAGAAAGCAAUAUACAAUUCACAGAUUGAUACAGAAAUGUCCAGCUUGGCUAUAUGGCCACUCUGCAGUUCUCAGUCCCAUUUUCUUCCUCUCUAAGUAGCAUUUACAUAACCUUUUUCUCCCUACAGGAGGAGCCAAAUCUAAACCUAUUUUGAACUCCCUGCUGUGAAUCAUUCUUCAGUUAAUUGGUCUGUAACAUGAAAAGCAGUAUGCUGCUGCUGAGAGUGACUGAAGGGUGAAAUAAGACCGGGGAGACUUCCAUGUCUAUAAAUCGUUUCUUGGGAAGGAGAUGAACAUGAAGAUGUGCUGGCCCAAGAGAAAACCUCUGACCAAUUAUUCAGAGGUCAACAGCCUCAUUUUUCUUACUUGCCGCUGGGAUUUCCAGAACUGUUCUCUCUCUGCAUGCACCCCAUUCCGAUUAAUCUGGUAGGACAGACUGUUCCUGUAGAUACACAUUUGUGAGCUACUGAAUUCUGUAGGAGGGAAACAAUCUUCCACUUGCCCUUCCAUCCUUACUACAAACCUGCUGAACUGAUUAGGACACCAAAACCCCUCAGACCUGUGGGCAGUUCUAAGUCCAUACAGCUUCACCAGUACUGUUUGUAAGCACCACUGUGCUGUAAUGCUUUUUAACUAGCAAAAUAAGAAUACUGAUGACAGGUAAAUAAUGGUAUAAAUGAUAAUAUAGCAGAUUGCUCUGCUGGUUUAUAAUGACCAUAUAG
This is a long non-coding RNA of Gallus gallus (chicken), 4739 nucleotides long. RefSeq lists it as uncharacterized. NCBI's taxonomy places the organism in Eukaryota, Metazoa, Chordata, Aves, Galliformes, Phasianidae. The transcript is spliced from 4 exons. The record is from RefSeq and is a predicted model, not a curated record.